RNAcentral lists this ribosomal RNA (411 nucleotides) under uncultured Rhizophagus. RNAcentral's name for it is "partial 28S ribosomal RNA". Lineage: Eukaryota; Fungi; Glomeromycota; Glomeromycetes; Glomerales; Glomeraceae. The record is from RNAcentral.
GAGAGUUAAACAGUACGUGAAAUUGUUGAAAGGGAAACGAUUGAAGCCAGUCGUACCUAUGGGUAAUCAGCCUUUUGGGUGUGAUUUUGUGGAGCGUGAGGAGUUAAACGCCUUCAUGCCUGCAUAUUCGUGCACUUUGGGUGUACUUGCCCGUGUGUAAGUUAACAUCAAUUUUGGUGGUCAUAAAAUGGCUGGAGGAAUGUAGCUUCGAUCUUGUAUUGAAGUGUUAUAGCCUUCGGUAGAUGUGACGAUCGGGAUUGAGGAUUGCAACGGAUACCCUUCGGGGCUACCUGUCUGAUCUCUGAUUGUUGCUCUGGUGUCGAAAGCUUGCUUACGGUUAUCAAAGUCGAUGGUCAAUAGGUUAGAAUGGGUUAAAUUCGUUAAGGAUGUUGACGUAAUGGCUUUAAACGA